GCUCUUCGUUAAGGUCGCCAGGAGUGAAAGGCUGACAAUUUUUGCCCUGACUCAGGAGCUCUCAACAGUAUGCAAAAGCUGCCAUGUUAGUGUGCACUGCGAUACACAGAAAGAGUUACAUAACAUACAUGAGUUUCCCAGUGGCUGCUGGAACAUUCAGUUUUCCAGCGAAACUCUGGAGCAGGAAGAAAAGCAAACCACCCGCAGCCG
Molecule: long non-coding RNA, 210 nt
Organism: Hipposideros armiger (great roundleaf bat)
Lineage: Eukaryota; Metazoa; Chordata; Mammalia; Chiroptera; Hipposideridae
Exons: 3
Source: RefSeq, a predicted model, not a curated record